UUAAGUUAUUAAGGGCGCACGGUGGAUGCCUUGGCACUAGAAGCCGAUGAAGGACGUUACUAACGACGAUAUGCUUUGGGGAGCUGUAAGUAAGCUUUGAUCCAGAGAUUUCCGAAUGGGGAAACCCAGCAUGAGUUAUGUCAUGUUAUCGAUAUGUGAAUACAUAGCAUAUCAGAAGGCACACCCGGAGAACUGAAACAUCUUAGUACCCGGAGGAAGAGAAAGAAAAUUCGAUUCCCUUAGUAGCGGCGAGCGAAACGGGAAGAGCCCAAACCAACAAGCUUGCUUGUUGGGGUUGUAGGACACUCUAUACGGAGUUACAAAGGACGACAUUAGACGAAUCAUCUGGAAAGAUGAAUCAAAGAAGGUAAUAAUCCUGUAGUCGAAAAUGUUGUCUCUCUUGAGUGGAUCCUGAGUACGACGGAGCACGUGAAAUUCCGUCGGAAUCUGGGAGGACCAUCUCCUAAGGCUAAAUACUCUCUAGUGACCGAUAGUGAACCAGUACCGUGAGGGAAAGGUGAAAAGCACCCCGGAAGGGGAGUGAAAUAGAACCUGAAACCGUGUGCUUACAAGUAGUCAGAGCCCGUUAAUGGGUGAUGGCGUGCCUUUUGUAGAAUGAACCGGCGAGUUACGAUUUGAUGCAAGGUUAAGCAGUAAAUGUGGAGCCGUAGCGAAAGCGAGUCUGAAUAGGGCGUUUAGUAUUUGGUCGUAGACCCGAAACCAGGUGAUCUACCCUUGGUCAGGUUGAAGUUCAGGUAACACUGAAUGGAGGACCGAACCGACUUACGUUGAAAAGUGAGCGGAUGAACUGAGGGUAGCGGAGAAAUUCCAAUCGAACCUGGAGAUAGCUGGUUCUCUCCGAAAUAGCUUUAGGGCUAGCCUCAAGUGAUGAUUAUUGGAGGUAGAGCACUGUUUGGACGAGGGGCCCCUCUCGGGUUACCGAAUUCAGACAAACUCCGAAUGCCAAUUAAUUUAACUUGGGAGUCAGAACAUGGGUGAUAAGGUCCGUGUUCGAAAGGGAAACAGCCCAGACCACCAGCUAAGGUCCCAAAAUAUAUGUUAAGUGGAAAAGGAUGUGGCGUUGCCCAGACAACUAGGAUGUUGGCUUAGAAGCAGCCAUCAUUUAAAGAGUGCGUAAUAGCUCACUAGUCGAGUGACACUGCGCCGAAAAUGUACCGGGGCUAAACAUAUUACCGAAGCUGUGGAUUGUCCUUUGGACAAUGGUAGGAGAGCGUUCUAAGGGCGUUGAAGCAUGAUCGUAAGGACAUGUGGAGCGCUUAGAAGUGAGAAUGCCGGUGUGAGUAGCGAAAGACGGGUGAGAAUCCCGUCCACCGAUUGACUAAGGUUUCCAGAGGAAGGCUCGUCCGCUCUGGGUUAGUCGGGUCCUAAGCUGAGGCCGACAGGCGUAGGCGAUGGAUAACAGGUUGAUAUUCCUGUACCACCUAUAAUCGUUUUAAUCGAUGGGGGGACGCAGUAGGAUAGGCGAAGCGUGCGAUUGGAUUGCACGUCUAAGCAAUAAGGCUGAGUAUUAGGCAAAUCCGGUACUCGUUAAGGCUGAGCUGUGAUGGGGAGAAGACAUUGUGUCUUCGAGUCGUUGAUUUCACACUGCCGAGAAAAGCCUCUAGAUAGAAAAUAGGUGCCCGUACCGCAAACCGACACAGGUAGUCAAGAUGAGAAUUCUAAGGUGAGCGAGCGAACUCUCGUUAAGGAACUCGGCAAAAUGACCCCGUAACUUCGGGAGAAGGGGUGCUCUUUAGGGUUAACGCCCAGAAGAGCCGCAGUGAAUAGGCCCAAGCGACUGUUUAUCAAAAACACAGGUCUCUGCUAAACCGUAAGGUGAUGUAUAGGGGCUGACGCCUGCCCGGUGCUGGAAGGUUAAGAGGAGUGGUUAGCUUCUGCGAAGCUACGAAUCGAAGCCCCAGUAAACGGCGGCCGUAACUAUAACGGUCCUAAGGUAGCGAAAUUCCUUGUCGGGUAAGUUCCGACCCGCACGAAAGGCGUAACGAUUUGGGCACUGUCUCAACGAGAGACUCGGUGAAAUCAUAGUACCUGUGAAGAUGCAGGUUACCCGCGACAGGACGGAAAGACCCCGUGGAGCUUUACUGUAGCCUGAUAUUGAAAUUCGGCACAGCUUGUACAGGAUAGGUAGGAGCCUUUGAAACGUGAGCGCUAGCUUACGUGGAGGCGCUGGUGGGAUACUACCCUAGCUGUGUUGGCUUUCUAACCCGCACCACUUAUCGUGGUGGGAGACAGUGUCAGGCGGGCAGUUUGACUGGGGCGGUCGCCUCCUAAAAGGUAACGGAGGCGCUCAAAGGUUCCCUCAGAAUGGUUGGAAAUCAUUCAUAGAGUGUAAAGGCAUAAGGGAGCUUGACUGCGAGACCUACAAGUCGAGCAGGGUCGAAAGACGGACUUAGUGAUCCGGUGGUUCCGCAUGGAAGGGCCAUCGCUCAACGGAUAAAAGCUACCCCGGGGAUAACAGGCUUAUCUCCCCCAAGAGUUCACAUCGACGGGGAGGUUUGGCACCUCGAUGUCGGCUCAUCGCAUCCUGGGGCUGUAGUCGGUCCCAAGGGUUGGGCUGUUCGCCCAUUAAAGCGGUACGCGAGCUGGGUUCAGAACGUCGUGAGACAGUUCGGUCCCUAUCCGUCGUGGGCGUAGGAAAUUUGAGAGGAGCUGUCCUUAGUACGAGAGGACCGGGAUGGACAUACCUCUGGUGUACCAGUUGUCGUGCCAACGGCAUAGCUGGGUAGCUAUGUGUGGACGGGAUAAGUGCUGAAAGCAUCUAAGCAUGAAGCCCCCCUCAAGAUGAGAUUUCCCAACUUCGGUUAUAAGAUCCCUCAAAGAUGAUGAGGUUAAUAGGUUCGAGGUGGAAGCAUGGUGACAUGUGGAGCUGACGAAUACUAAUCGAUCGAAGACUUAAUCAA
This 2921-nucleotide ribosomal RNA is filed under the name Staphylococcus aureus SMMC6051. RNAcentral describes it as "bacterial LSU rRNA". It matches the Rfam family "Bacterial large subunit ribosomal RNA". The record is from RNAcentral. RNAcentral also lists the same sequence under 23 other names. Lineage: Bacteria; Bacillati; Bacillota; Bacilli; Caryophanales; Staphylococcaceae.